AAAGGCCUGGCCUCCCGGCAAUUCGACUCAAUAGUCUUCUGUGGUUCAUACCUUUAUACCAGUCAGUUCAGAAUGUAAUACCGCGUUUAACGCAAACUAUAUACAACUUUCAGCAACGGAUCUCUUGGCUCUCGCAUCGAUGAAGAACGCAGCGAAAUGCGAUAAGUAAUGUGAAUUGCAGAAUUCAGUGAAUCAUCGAAUCUUUGAACGCACCUUGCACUCCUUGGUAUUCCGAGGAGUAUGCCUGUUUGAGUGUCAUGGUAUUCUCAAUUCUAAUAACUUUUGUUAUCGGARUUGGACUUGGAGGUUUUUUGCCGGUGCUUCGGCGGCUGGCUCCUCUUAAAUGCAUUAGUGUGAAUCAAGUUACACAUCAUUCAGUGUGAUAAUUAUCUGCGCUGUCUCAUGUUAACUUUAUAAGUGUUCAUGCUUAUAACCCGUCUGUUGACUCAGACACUUACUUUGAAAUCUGACCUCAAAUCA
RNAcentral lists this ribosomal RNA (480 nucleotides) under Podoscypha aculeata. RNAcentral describes it as "eukaryotic LSU rRNA". Lineage: Eukaryota; Fungi; Basidiomycota; Agaricomycetes; Polyporales; Podoscyphaceae. The record is from RNAcentral.